RNAcentral lists this small nucleolar RNA (161 nucleotides) under Falco tinnunculus (common kestrel). Its description in RNAcentral is "Small nucleolar RNA SNORA73 family (ENSFTIG00000002949.1)". It matches the Rfam family "Small nucleolar RNA SNORA73 family", at positions 43 to 219 of the family's 219-position model. From Rfam's summary of the family: U17 (SNORA73A and SNORA73B) also known as E1 belongs to the H/ACA class of small nucleolar RNAs (snoRNAs). Vertebrate U17 is intron-encoded and ranges in length from 200-230 nucleotides, longer than most snoRNAs. Lineage: Eukaryota; Metazoa; Chordata; Aves; Falconiformes; Falconidae. The record is from Rfam by way of RNAcentral.
GUGUGGCGCAUGGGAGCGUAGGCCUUCGGGCCCCUGACGUACAGUCCCUUUCCACGACGUUGGAGAACAAGCCGGGCCUCGAGUCUGCAGCCUGCAUAUUCCUACUGCUUCUCUGAGCCCUCGGGCGGUUACAGAGGAGACAAACCAUGCAGGAAACACUU